RNAcentral lists this ribosomal RNA (440 nucleotides) under uncultured bacterium. RNAcentral's name for it is "partial 16S ribosomal RNA". It matches the Rfam family "Bacterial small subunit ribosomal RNA", at positions 338 to 795 of the family's 1533-position model. The record is from RNAcentral.
CCUACGGGUGGCAGCAGUGGGGGAUAUUGCACAAUGGGGGGAACCCUGAUGCAGCGACGCCGCGUGGGUGAAGGAGCGCUUCGGCGCGUAAAGCCCUAUCGGCAGGGAAGAAAAUGACGGUACCUGACCAAGAAGCCCCGGCUAACUACGUGCCAGCAGCCGCGGUAAUACGUAGGGGGCAAGCGUUAUCCGGAUUUACUGGGUGUAAAGGGGGCGCAGGCGGGAAUGCAAGCCAGGCGUGAAAGCCCGGGGCCCAACCCCGGGACUGCGCUUGGAACUGCAAGGCUGGAGUGCAGGAGGGGUAAGCGGAAUUCCUAGUGUAGCGGUGAAAUGCGUAGAUAUUAGGAGGAACACCGGUGGCGAAGGCGGCCUACUGGACUGUGACUGACGUUGAGGCCCGAAGGCGUGGGGAGCAAACAGGAUUAGAUACCCCAGUAGUC